RNAcentral lists this ribosomal RNA (326 nucleotides) under uncultured eukaryote. RNAcentral's name for it is "partial 18S ribosomal RNA". It matches the Rfam family "Eukaryotic small subunit ribosomal RNA", at positions 1470 to 1796 of the family's 1831-position model. The record is from RNAcentral.
CCCUUAGAUGUUCUGGGCUGCACGCGCGCUACACUGAAGCGUUCAACGAGUAUUCACCUUGCCCGGGAGGGUUGGGUAAUCUUUUUAAAACGCUUCGUGAUGGGGAUAGAUUAUUGCAAUUAUUAAUCUUCAACGAGGAAUUCCUAGUAAGCGCGAGUCAUCAGCUCGUGCUGAUUACGUCCCUGCCCUUUGUACACACCGCCCGCCGCUCCUACCGAUUGAGUGAUCCGGUGAAUAAUUCGGACUGCAGCAGUGCUUGGUCCUCCGGGCUUUGCAGCGGAAAGUUUAGUGAACCUUAUCACUUAGAGGAAGGAGAAGUCGUAACA